Molecule: small RNA, 1325 nt
Filed under: Pan troglodytes (chimpanzee)
Lineage: Eukaryota; Metazoa; Chordata; Mammalia; Primates; Hominidae
Description: processed transcript
Source: RNAcentral
UCCCUGGACACACAGCCUGAGCAGCUGGCCCUGAGGCCCAAGGAGUUUUUCCGAGCCUAUGGCAUCGAGGUGCUCACCGAGGCUCAGGUGGUCACAUUGGACGUGAGAAAUAAGAAGGUCGUGUUCAAGGAUGGCUUCAAGCUGGAGUACAGCAAGCUGCUGCUGGCACCAGGGAGCAGCCCCAAGACUCUGAGCUGCAAAGGCAAAGAAGUGGAGAAUGUGUUCACCAUCCGGACGCCAGAGGAUGCCAAUCGCGUGGUGAGGCUGGCCCGAGGCCGCAAUGUGGUCGUCGUGGGAGCCGGCUUCCUGGGGAUGGAGGUGGCUGCUUACCUGACGGAGAAGGCCCACUCUGUGUCUGUGGUGGAGCUGGAGGAGACGCCCUUCAGGAGGUUCCUGGGGGAGCGCGUGGGUCGUGCCCUCAUGAAGAUGUUUGAGAACAACCGGGUGAAGUUCUACAUGCAGACGGAGGUGUCUGAGCUGCGGGGCCAGGAGGGAAAGCUGAAGGAGGUUGUGCUGAAGAGCAGCAAGGUCGUGCGGGCUGACGUCUGCGUGGUGGGCAUUGAUGAUGCAGACCAAUGUCCCAGGCGUAUUUGCAGCUGGCGACGCUGUCACCUUCCCCCUUGCCUGGAGGAACAACCGGAAAGUGAACAUUCCACAUUGGCAGAUGGCUCAUGCUCAGGGGCGCGUGGCAGCCCAGAACAUGUUGGCGCAGGAGGCGGAGAUGACCACUGUGCCCUACCUCUGGACCGCCAUGUUUGGCAAGAGCCUGCGCUACGCGGGCUACGGAGAAGGCUUCGACGACGUCAUCAUCCAGGGGGAUCUGGAGGAGCUGAAGUUUGUGGCUUUUUACACUAAAGGCGACGAGGUAAUCGCCGUGGCCAGCAUGAACUACGAUCCCAUUGUGUCCAAGGUCGCUGAGGUGCUGGCCUCAGGCCGUGCCAUCCGGAAGCGGGAGGUGGAGACUGGCGACAUGUCCUGGCUUACGGGGAAAGGAUCCUGAGAUCACAUGCAGUAGACUUGGGCAGGCAAAGGGGGCACCAAGGGCAUAGGCCAAGCCUUGGGGGCAGGUGCCAAUCUCCAGUCCCAGGAUCCCCCAGGGCAGGACCUGAGCCCUCCCAGUGCUUGCCUUCAGCCACCUGGCUCCCCUCUUGGGAGGCCUCUGCUGGAUCCAGAAGAUGCUCAACCCUCAAGGCCUCUGCUGCCACUGACAGCUGGCACUGGAGGCAGGACAAGCCCUGCCUCUUCUCCCUCUAUUGGGACUGGUCCCCUGAAGAACCCUGCAACAUGUUAGACAUUACCGUAAAAUUAAAACGCACAAAUUUGCA